Molecule: ribosomal RNA, 1438 nt
Filed under: uncultured organism
Description: 16S ribosomal RNA
Rfam family: Bacterial small subunit ribosomal RNA
Source: RNAcentral
ACGCUAGCUACUGGCUUAACACAUGCAAGUCGAGGGGCAUCAGGAAGAAAGCUUGCUUUCUUUGCUGGCGACCGGCGCACGGGUGAGUAACACGUAUCCAACCUGCCCUUUACUCGGGGAUAGCCUUUCGAAAGAAAGAUUAAUACCCGAUAGCAUAAUGAUUCCGCAUGGUUUCAUUAUUAAAGGAUUCCGGUAAAGGAUGGGGAUGCGUUCCAUUAGGUUGUUGGUGAGGUAACGGCCCACCAAGCCUUCGAUGGAUAGGGGUUCUGAGAGGAAGGUCCCCCACAUUGGAACUGAGACACGGUCCAAACUCCUACGGGAGGCAGCAGUGAGGAAUAUUGGUCAAUGGGCGCUAGCCUGAACCAGCCAAGUAGCGUGAAGGAUGAAGGCUCUAUGGGUCGUAAACUUCUUUUAUAUAAGAAUAAAGUGCAGUAUGUAUACUGUUUUGUAUGUAUUAUAUGAAUAAGGAUCGGCUAACUCCGUGCCAGCAGCCGCGGUAAUACGGAGGAUCCGAGCGUUAUCCGGAUUUAUUGGGUUUAAAGGGAGCGUAGGUGGACUGGUAAGUCAGUUGUGAAAGUUUGCGGCUCAACCGUAAAAUUGCAGUUGAUACUGUCAGUCUUGAGUACAGUAGAGGUGGGCGGAAUUCGUGGUGUAGCGGUGAAAUGCUUAGAUAUCACGAAGAACUCCGAUUGCGAAGGCAGCUCACUGGACUGCAACUGACACUGAUGCUCGAAAGUGUGGGUAUCAAACAGGAUUAGAUACCCUGGUAGUCCACACAGUAAACGAUGAAUACUCGCUGUUUGCGAUAUACAGUAAGCGGCCAAGCGAAAGCAUUAAGUAUUCCACCUGGGGAGUACGCCGGCAACGGUGAAACUCAAAGGAAUUGACGGGGGCCCGCACAAGCGGAGGAACAUGUGGUUUAAUUCGAUGAUACGCGAGGAACCUUACCCGGGCUUAAAUUGCAGUGGAAUGAUGUGGAAACAUGUCAGUGAGCAAUCACCGCUGUGAAGGUGCUGCAUGGUUGUCGUCAGCUCGUGCCGUGAGGUGUCGGCUUAAGUGCCAUAACGAGCGCAACCCUUAUCUUUAGUUACUAACAGGUUAUGCUGAGGACUCUAGAGAGACUGCCGUCGUAAGAUGUGAGGAAGGUGGGGAUGACGUCAAAUCAGCACGGCCCUUACGUCCGGGGCUACACACGUGUUACAAUGGGGGGUACAGAAGGCAGCUAGCGGGUGACCGUAUGCUAAUCCCAAAAUCCUCUCUCAGUUCGGAUCGAAGUCUGCAACCCGACUUCGUGAAGCUGGAUUCGCUAGUAAUCGCGCAUCAGCCACGGCGCGGUGAAUACGUUCCCGGGCCUUGUACACACCGCCCGUCAAGCCAUGGGAGCCGGGGGUACCUGAAGUACGUAACCGCAAGGAUCGUCCUAGGGUAAAACUGGUGA